This 591-nucleotide ribosomal RNA is filed under the name Triticum aestivum (bread wheat). RNAcentral's name for it is "partial small subunit ribosomal RNA". Lineage: Eukaryota; Viridiplantae; Streptophyta; Magnoliopsida; Poales; Poaceae. The record is from RNAcentral.
GAGUAGUAUCAUCUAUCAUAGAUCUUAAAAUCAAUAAUACAAGAAAGCAUGGAUAAUGCCUUAAUCAAGUAAAAUAAAAUGGAUCAAGAUAAUGUACAACAAUAGUACACCAACAUCUUGCACAAGAGGAAUUGGUUCCAUACACACACGCACAUGAGACUAAAUUAAUUUACUAAAUCUGAGAACUUUAACCAUAAAAAAAUAUUAGGGAUAGGAACCUGCACAUAUGUUCGAUCUGUUCCAUGGCCACGCACUGGAGCUCUGACCUGCACCAUCCAGCAUCACAGCGGCACCCAACGCCGGCGACUUCGAUCUGGAGCAGCGGAAUCACAUCCCAAUGAGAGCCUCACCUGCAAGCCAAAAUCAGAGGAGGAUUUGAGGGUUAAGGAUGAAUCCAUGGGGGACAUAUGGGGAUUUACAUCACAGAAGAAGAGAGAGAGGGGGGAGAGAGAGAGAGAGAUUUGAGGAUCCGGCAGCGGCGGAGCAGCAUCUUUCCCAUCGCUGGCUUGCUGCUCGAUCUGGGCAAGGAGUAGAAGAAACAGAGGAGGGCAUGCGUGUACUGCUUGUGUUCUGGCUGGACUAGUACUAGUG